RNAcentral lists this ribosomal RNA (505 nucleotides) under uncultured bacterium. RNAcentral describes it as "partial 16S ribosomal RNA". It matches the Rfam family "Bacterial small subunit ribosomal RNA", at positions 28 to 507 of the family's 1533-position model. The record is from RNAcentral.
GACGAACGCUGGCGGCGUGCCUAAUACAUGCAAGUAGAACGCACAGUUUAUACCGUAGCUUGCUACACCAUAGACUGUGAGUUGCGAACGGGUGAGUAACGCGUAGGUAACCUGCCUGGUAGCGGGGGAUAACUAUUGGAAACGAUAGCUAAUACCGCAUCAUAUUGAUUAUUGCAUGAUAAUUGAUUGAAAGAUGCUAUUGCAUCACUACCAGAUGGACCUGCGUUGUAUUAGCUAGUAGGUGAGGUAACGGCUCACCUAGGCGACGAUACAUAGCCGACCUGGGAGGGUGAUCGGCCACACUGGGACUGAGACACGGCCCAAACUCCUACGGGAGGCAGCAGUAGGGAAUCUUCGGCAAUGGACGAAAGUCUGACCGAGCAACGCCGCGUGAGUGAAGAAGGUUUUCGGAUCGUAAAGCUCUGUUGUAAGAGAAGAACAGGUGUGAGAGUGGAAAGUUCACACUGUGACGGUAUCUUACCAGAAAGGGACGGCUAACUACGUG